CCUCUCUCUCUCUCUCUCUCUCUCUCUCUCUCUCUCUCUCUCGGCUUUUCUCUCCCUCUCUUUUCCCUUUCGUCCCCAACUUUGCUCGGAUUGCCUCUAGAAAUCUAAGGCGUCGCAAGCCGAUCCCGCCGACCCGACUGGACCUAAUGCACGGGGUAGGGCGACUCAUCCCAGGUCUAGGUCUAGACUCAGUUAGUGGGCUCAACUAGUUGGUACGAAUCCAAUUGACUUCGACGUGACUAGGGUUGGAUUUGGGGCGGUCCUUUCCAAACCAAAU
RNAcentral lists this long non-coding RNA (277 nucleotides) under Amborella trichopoda. Its description in RNAcentral is "long non-coding RNA (ATRI_LNC005512)". Lineage: Eukaryota; Viridiplantae; Streptophyta; Magnoliopsida; Amborellales; Amborellaceae. The record is from RNAcentral.